This 2826-nucleotide ribosomal RNA is filed under the name Serratia marcescens. Its description in RNAcentral is "bacterial LSU rRNA". It matches the Rfam family "Bacterial large subunit ribosomal RNA". The record is from RNAcentral. Lineage: Bacteria; Pseudomonadati; Pseudomonadota; Gammaproteobacteria; Enterobacterales; Yersiniaceae.
AGCGUACACGGUGGAUGCCUAGGCAGUCAGAGGCGAUGAAGGGCGUGCUAAUCUGCGAAAAGCGUCGGUAAGGUGAUAUGAACCGUUAUAACCGGCGAUACCCGAAUGGGGAAACCCAGUGUGUUUCGACACACUAUCAUGUCAUGAAUACAUAGUGGCAUGAGGCGAACCGGGGGAACUGAAACAUCUAAGUACCCCGAGGAAAAGAAAUCAACCGAGAUUCCCCCAGUAGCGGCGAGCGAACGGGGAGGAGCCCAGAACCUGAAUCGGCUUGUGUGUUAGUGGAAGCGUCUGGAAAGUCGCGCAGUAAAGGGUGAUAGCCCCGUACACUAAAAUGCACAGGUCGUGAGUUCGAUGAGUAGGGCGGGACACGUGACAUCCUGUCUGAAUAUGGGGGGACCAUCCUCCAAGGCUAAAUACUCCUGACUGACCGAUAGUGAACCAGUACCGUGAGGGAAAGGCGAAAAGAACCCCGGCGAGGGGAGUGAAAUAGAACCUGAAACCGUGUACGUACAAGCAGUGGGAGCACCUUCGUGGUGUGACUGCGUACCUUUUGUAUAAUGGGUCAGCGACUUAUAUUUUGUAGCAAGGUUAACCGUAUAGGGGAGCCGUAGGGAAACCGAGUCUUAACUGGGCGUCUAGUUGCAAGGUAUAGACCCGAAACCCGGUGAUCUAGCCAUGGGCAGGUUGAAGGUUGGGUAACACUAACUGGAGGACCGAACCGACUAAUGUUGAAAAAUUAGCGGAUGACUUGUGGCUGGGGGUGAAAGGCCAAUCAAACCGGGAGAUAGCUGGUUCUCCCCGAAAGCUAUUUAGGUAGCGCCUCGUGAACUCAUCUUCGGGGGUAGAGCACUGUUUCGGCUAGGGGGCCAUCCCGGCUUACCAAACCGAUGCAAACUCCGAAUACCGAAGAAUGUUAUCACGGGAGACACACGGCGGGUGCUAACGUCCGUCGUGAAGAGGGAAACAACCCAGACCGCCAGCUAAGGUCCCAAAGUCAUGGUUAAGUGGGAAACGAUGUGGGAAGGCAUAGACAGCCAGGAUGUUGGCUUAGAAGCAGCCAUCAUUUAAAGAAAGCGUAAUAGCUCACUGGUCGAGUCGGCCUGCGCGGAAGAUGUAACGGGGCUAAACCAUGCACCGAAGCUGCGGCAGCGACGCUUAGGCGUUGUUGGGUAGGGGAGCGUUCUGUAAGCCGUUGAAGGUGGCCUGUGAGGGUUGCUGGAGGUAUCAGAAGUGCGAAUGCUGACAUAAGUAACGAUAAAGCGGGUGAAAAGCCCGCUCGCCGGAAGACCAAGGGUUCCUGUCCAACGUUAAUCGGGGCAGGGUGAGUCGACCCCUAAGGCGAGGCUGAAAAGCGUAGUCGAUGGGAAACAGGUUAAUAUUCCUGUACUUGGUGUUACUGCGAAGGGGGGACGGAGAAGGCUAGGCUAGCCGGGCGACGGUUGUCCCGGUUUAAGCGUGUAGGGGGUGUGACCUGGUAAAUCCGGUUGCAUAUCAACCCUGAGGCGUGAUGACGAUGCACUACGGUGCAGAAGUAGUUGAUGCCCUGCUUCCAGGAAAAUCCUCUAAGCUCCAGGUAACAUUAAAUCGUACCCCAAACCGACACAGGUGGUCAGGUAGAGAAUACCAAGGCGCUUGAGAGAACUCGGGUGAAGGAACUAGGCAAAAUGGUGCCGUAACUUCGGGAGAAGGCACGCUGGCAUGUAGGUGAAGUCCCUUGCGGAUGGAGCUGAAGCCAGUCGAAGAUACCAGCUGGCUGCAACUGUUUAAUAAAAACACAGCACUGUGCAAACACGAAAGUGGACGUAUACGGUGUGACGCCUGCCCGGUGCUGGAAGGUUAAUUGAUGGGGUCAGCCGCAAGGCGAAGCUCUUGAUCGAAGCCCCAGUAAACGGCGGCCGUAACUAUAACGGUCCUAAGGUAGCGAAAUUCCUUGUCGGGUAAGUUCCGACCUGCACGAAUGGCGUAAUGAUGGCCAGGCUGUCUCCACCCGAGACUCAGUGAAAUUGAACUCGCUGUGAAGAUGCAGUGUACCCGCGGCAAGACGGAAAGACCCCGUGAACCUUUACUAUAGCUUGACACUGAACAUUGAGCCUUGAUGUGUAGGAUAGGUGGGAGGCUUUGAAGCGUGGACGCCAGUCUGCGUGGAGCCAUCCUUGAAAUACCACCCUUUAAUGUUUGAUGUUCUAACUCUGCCCCAUAAUCUGGGGUGAGGACAGUGUCUGGUGGGUAGUUUGACUGGGGCGGUCUCCUCCCAAAGAGUAACGGAGGAGCACGAAGGUUAGCUAAUCACGGUCGGACAUCGUGAGGUUAGUGCAAAGGCAUAAGCUAGCUUGACUGCGAGAGUGACGGCUCGAGCAGGUACGAAAGUAGGUCUUAGUGAUCCGGUGGUUCUGAAUGGAAGGGCCAUCGCUCAACGGAUAAAAGGUACUCCGGGGAUAACAGGCUGAUACCGCCCAAGAGUUCAUAUCGACGGCGGUGUUUGGCACCUCGAUGUCGGCUCAUCACAUCCUGGGGCUGAAGUAGGUCCCAAGGGUAUGGCUGUUCGCCAUUUAAAGUGGUACGCGAGCUGGGUUUAGAACGUCGUGAGACAGUUCGGUCCCUAUCUGCCGUGGGCGUUGGAAGAUUGAGAGGGGUUGCUCCUAGUACGAGAGGACCGGAGUGAACGCACCACUGGUGUUCGGGUUGUCAUGCCAAUGGCAUUGCCCGGUAGCUAAGUGCGGAAAAGAUAAGCGCUGAAAGCAUCUAAGCGCGAAACUUGCCUCAAGAUGAGUCUUCCCUGGGCCUUUAAGGCCCCUGAAGGAACGUUUAAGACUAAGACGUUGA